CCUACGGGAGGCAGCAGUGGGGAAUAUUGCACAAUGGGGGAAACCCUGAUGCAGCGACGCCGCGUGAAGGAAGAAGUAUUUCGGUAUGUAAACUUCUAUCAGCAGGGAAGAAAAUGACGGUACCUGACUAAGAAGCCCCGGCUAAAUACGUGCCAGAAGCCGCGGAAAUAGGUAGGGGGCAAGCGUUAUCCGGAUUUACCGGGUGUAAAGGGAGCGUAGGCGGUUUAGCAAGUCAGAAGUGAAAGCCCGGGGUCAAAGUCCGGGACUGCUUUUGAAACUGUUGAACUAGAUUGCGGGUGAGGUAAGUGGAAUUCGUGGUGUAGCGGUGAAAUGCGUAGAUAUUAGGAGGAACACCAGUGGCGAAGGCGGCUUACUGGACUGUAAAUGACGCUGAGGCUCGAAAGCGUGGGGAGCAAACAGGAUUAGAUACCCGAGUAGUC
RNAcentral lists this ribosomal RNA (440 nucleotides) under uncultured bacterium. RNAcentral's name for it is "partial 16S ribosomal RNA". It matches the Rfam family "Bacterial small subunit ribosomal RNA", at positions 338 to 795 of the family's 1533-position model. The record is from RNAcentral.